Plutella xylostella (diamondback moth) is the source of this 578-nucleotide non-coding RNA. NCBI's taxonomy places the organism in Eukaryota, Metazoa, Arthropoda, Insecta, Lepidoptera, Plutellidae. The record is from RefSeq and is a predicted model, not a curated record.
CCACUGGGGUUUGUAACAGCAGAUCGGUUUGCUGUGCUUUUGAAAGAGGUCUUACAGCAAUGCUUUGAAGCAGGCAUUAAUAUAUAUGGCACAGUCUGUGAUAUGGAUGGUGUUAACAGACGAGCUCUAUCCAUCUUGGGUGCAACUGCAAAUGAACCUAGCAUCACAGUUGAAAAUAGAGAGGUUGUGACUCUUUUUGACGCACCACAUCUACUGAAAUGUUUUAGAAAUUUAUUCCUGAAAAAUGAUAUUGAGUGCAAAACUAAUAUAUCCUCAGAGGACCAGAUAGGAAAAGGUGUUGCCAAGUGGUCACAUAUAAAACAGUAUUAUGAAGUGGACAACUAUAACCCAAACUUCGUGUUUGCUCCUAGCUUGACGAAGGAUCAUCUGAAUCCAAAUUGUAAACAGAAAAUGCGCGUCAAGCUAGCCGCACAAGUGUUGAUCAACAUUGUAAGUGUAGGAAUGUUCGCCAAAAUUUCUAACGGUAUGUUAUAUUUCUUUAUUAUUAUUAUUUUGUGUCCAUGCAACCUGCAGGCGGCCUGAGGAAGCUUUAAAAAGUAUCAGUAGAGUCUUACAUU